AAGUUUUUCGGUGUAGGAUGAGACUAUAUAGUAUCAGCUAGUUGGUAAGGUAAUGGCUUACCAAGGCUAUGACGCUUAACUGGUCUGAGAGGAUGAUCAGUCACACUGGAACUGAGACACGGUCCAGACUCCUACGGGAGGCAGCAGUAGGGAAUAUUGCGCAAUGGGGGAAACCCUGACGCAGCAACGCCGCGUGGAGGAUGACACUUUUCGGAGCGUAAACUCCUUUUCUUAGGGAAGAAUUCUGACGGUACCUAAGGAAUAAGCACCGGCUAACUCCGUGCCAGCAGCCGCGGUAAUACGGAGGGUGCAAGCGUUACUCGGAAUCACUGGGCGUAAAGGGCGCGUAGGCGGAUUAUCAAGUCUCUUGUGAAAUCUAAUGGCUUAACCAUUAAACUGCUUGGGAAACUGAUAGUCUAGAGUGAGGGAGAGGCAGAUGGAAUUGGUGGUGUAGGGGUAAAAUCCGUAGAUAUCACCAAGAAUACCCAUUGCGAAGGCGAUCUGCUGGAACUCAACUGACGCUAAGGCGCGAAAGCGUGGGGAGCAAACAGGAUUAGAUACCCUGGUAGUCCACGCCCUAAACGAUGUACACUAGUUGUUGGGGUGCUAGUCAUCUCAGUAAUGCAGCUAACGCAUUAAGUGUACCGCCUGGGGAGUACGGUCGCAAGAUUAAAACUCAAAGGAAUAGACGGGGACCCGCACAAGCGGUGGAGCAUGUGGUUUAAUUCGAAGAUACGCGAAGAACCUUACCUGGGCUUGAUAUCCUAAGAACCUUUUAGAGAUAAGAGGGUGCUAGCUUGCUAGAACUUAGAGACAGGUGCUGCACGGCUGUCGUCAGCUCGUGUCGUGAGAUGUUGGGUUAAGUCCCGCAACGAGCGCAACCCACGUAUUUAGUUGCUAACGGUUCGGCCGAGCACUCUAAAUAGACUGCCUUCGUAAGGAGGAGGAAGGUGUGGACGACGUCAAGUCAUCAUGGCCCUUAUGCCCAGGGCGACACACGUGCUACAAUGGCAUAUACAAUGAGACGCAAUACCGCGAGGUGGAGCAAAUCUAUAAAAUAUGUCCCAGUUCGGAUUGUUCUCUGCAACUCGAGAGCAUGAAGCCGGAAUCGCUAGUAAUCGUAGAUCAGCCAUGCUACGGUGAAUACGUUCCCGGGUCUUGUACUCACCGCCCGUCACACCAUGGGAGUUGAUUUCACUCGAAGCCGGAAUACUAAACUAGUUACCGUCCACAGUGGAAUCAGCGACUGGGGUGAAGUCGUAACAAGGUAACCGUAGGAGAACCUGCGGUUGGAUCACCUCCUUUCUA
RNAcentral lists this ribosomal RNA (1308 nucleotides) under Campylobacter coli. Its description in RNAcentral is "bacterial SSU rRNA". It matches the Rfam family "Bacterial small subunit ribosomal RNA", at positions 208 to 1533 of the family's 1533-position model. RNAcentral also lists the same sequence under 1 other name. The record is from RNAcentral. Lineage: Bacteria; Pseudomonadati; Campylobacterota; Epsilonproteobacteria; Campylobacterales; Campylobacteraceae.